This 973-nucleotide long non-coding RNA is filed under the name Lynx pardinus (Iberian lynx). The record is from RNAcentral. Lineage: Eukaryota; Metazoa; Chordata; Mammalia; Carnivora; Felidae.
CUAGGGACCUUUCACCUGCUUCUGCUACUGCAAAUGAUUGGACAUCCAUUUACAUUUCCUCUUCUUCAUGUGUGGAAGGAAACUUUUGUUCACUGUGCUUCAGGCUGCCCCUGGCCUGAAAGUGGGUCCUUGAAUUCCCCUUGUACCAUUCCAACUUGCCAAGGUGGUUAUGAGACCUGAGGGAGGUGUUUAGGCGUGGACUUUGGGCCAGGUGUGUAAAUCCAUUUGGUACCAACUUUGGGCCCCAAGGAUAAGGGCAUGUGUAGCUGCACCAGAAGAGAGGGGAACAGUGAAAACUAAAAUUUCACCCUCUGUGAUGAUCUUCACCACCACCAGUACCAACAAUGUUGUAAGUACAGAGGAUUCACCUACCCAGUCGUUUUUCCUCUCCAUCCGGGCCCUCUGCAAGAGUGAGCCAGUGCUCAGAGAUGGUGGAGGGUAUGGCUGGUGACUCAGUCUCAACUGUGUCUCAACUGUGUCCAAAGUGUCUAGGGAGAAGUCUGCUCACCGGUAGCUAUAUCCUCUCUGGGAAGGCACAGUGCCCUAAAGUGGUGAGGCUGUAGGCCUGUGGGAACUGGGGCCUCCUGCCCCUCUUUUUAUUUUUAUUUAAUACUCACAAACUUCUCUUCAUUCCCCCCCUUUUUUUCCCUUACAGUUUCUGAAAGAAGGACGGAAGUAACACCAAGAACUCCCAGAUGAAGAGGACCUUCCUGGAUCUGUAACUGGGAUUAACCAGUUCUUUACUGGGAGAGAAAGUUUCAACUAAUCCUCAGGAUAAAAGCAAACAGGCCUGUGACUGUCCCUUGAACACUGACAGUGUAAACAAGCUUCUGGCUCCUCCAGGUCAAGCAGAGCAACACUUUUCAUUAGAAUGUUGGGUUUCUUCUUUGUUAUUCAAACAUACACCCACACACAUCCCCUUGUCCCUCCCUAAUGAACAAACCUCAACAGAUGGAGAGCCUAGGCUCCCAAG